UGCCAGACUCCUACGGGAGGCAGCAGUGAGGAAUAUUGGUCAAUGGCCGGAAGGCUGAACCAGCCAAGUCGCGUGAGGGAAUAAGGCCCUAUGGGUCGUAAACCUCUUUUGUCAGGGAGCAAAGGCGUCCACGAGUGGACGAAAGGAGAGUACCUGAAGAAAAAGCAUCGGCUAACUCCGUGCCAGCAGCCGCGGUAAUACGGAGGAUGCGAGCGUUAUCCGGAUUUAUUGGGUUUAAAGGGUGCGUAGGCGGAGUGUCAAGUCAGCGGUAAAAAUGCGGUGCUCAACGCCGUCGAGCCGUUGAAACUGGCGUUCUUGAGUGGGCGAGAAGUAUGCGGAAUGCGUGGUGUAGCGGUGAAAUGCAUAGAUAUCACGCAGAACUCCGAUUGCGAAGGCAGCAUACCGGCGCCCUACUGACGCUGAGGCACGAAAGCGUGGGUAUCGAACAGGAUUAGAUACCCGUGUA
Molecule: ribosomal RNA, 466 nt
Filed under: uncultured bacterium
Lineage: Bacteria
Description: bacterial SSU rRNA
Rfam family: Bacterial small subunit ribosomal RNA
Source: RNAcentral